Long non-coding RNA from Peromyscus californicus insignis, 2674 nucleotides. RefSeq lists it as uncharacterized. The transcript has 5 exons. The record is from RefSeq and is a predicted model, not a curated record. NCBI's taxonomy places the organism in Eukaryota, Metazoa, Chordata, Mammalia, Rodentia, Cricetidae.
CGCGGACCGACGCCCGCCCGGUGUCUACGCAGCUACGGCUGCACCGAGUGGUGGGAGCGCCUGGUGCGACCCAGAGAUGGGGAAACUGAAGCAUACAGAGGUUAACUGAAGAGCUGGAAGUGAAGGGUGGCUGCUGGAGGGGCUUCCAGGAGGGAGACCAUAAAGGACCCUGCAGGUGGUGCUACACGAGCAUUUGGGCCUGUUAUGGAUUCUCCAGUGUGGAUUCAAAAUAAAAAUCCAAAUGAAUGUAUAAUGGUCACCAAAAUGUGGUGAGGUGAUCUUUCAAAAGUUUGCUUUUUCUUAAAUGUGUGCACUUCCUGUGUACAAGUGUCUUCUCCUCUGAGGUCAGAAGAGGGCGGUGGAUCCCCUGGAACUGGAGUUACAGCCCGUUGUGAGCCACCUGAUGCUCUGGGAACUGAACUCAGGUCCUCUGUGAGAGCAGUGAAGUGCUCUUAAAUGACGAGCCAUCCCUCUAGCCUUGUUUCAAGUUUCAACUAAAUUCUUCAAGUAAUCAUCCACAGUCUGUCUUUCAUCUAACAGGUCGAUCUUCAUCCUGUUUCAAAGCCCCCAUAAAGACUGGAGGAGCAGGAAGACUGCUGCAAAUUCAAGGCCAGAAUAGUUUAUAUAGUUCCGGAAGGCCAGGACUGGCUUCAUAGCGACAUAGUUAGACCUCGUCUCAAAACAAACAGAGCAAGGAGGAGGAGGACAAGGAUGGAAAGAAGGAAAAAAAAGGGGGGGGGAAAUGUUGGACUUCUCAGGACGAUGCUGCCAAGGAGCCUUUAAAACUGCCACACUGAGGGUUGACCAUCUGGGAACUUGGUCAUUUCAAAGGCAGAAUGAAAGCUGUACCCCCAGAGGAGCCGGUGGUUUCUGAGGGUGGCCUUAUGGAGCUUUGGCAAACAAGCAUUUACAUCUUGCCGAAUUCUAGAGUUCUAAGAGGGGCAUAUGGCCUGAAGAACAUAGAUCACCUGCAACUACGUGGCAAAAAAGGACAACUCCAUACCACCUUGCUGAAAAAACAAUGCACAGAUGCACAUCUUAACCUGAACAAGAGCUGCACUUUAUGACUGCUGUUACUGGUAGGAGCUACAUUUCCUUACUCACAUAGACUUAAUGUAGAUAAAGAAUAUUUUACAGUCUGUUUUAAAAUAUUACUUAUGACAUGGUAUACAAUUCCAAUUUUUCUUUGAAGUAAGUUGGGUAAAUUGUUUUCCAGAACCUUUAAGAUGCUUUUAUAGAUAGGAGGAUAAAGCACCCCAUCUCAUUGUGCAGGGUGAAUUUCUUCACAAAGGAAAAGCAAAAGCGACAGGAAGUGAUUGACACCCAAGCAAGACCUCUCCUGGCCACCCAGGAGGAGGCGCACCAGUUCCAAGAGCUAUCCUUCCUGAGCACCGCUGCCUGGAGUUCACAGCUCUGGCGCCUCUGGACUGGGGUUCUAAGUUAGGGCCUGGCCUGGCUACAGAGUCUCAAGGAGUAAACAACUUGAAACGAACGAUUACAUUGUAAAAUAAAAUACAAAGGGCCAUUUCUGAACCCUAUGGAGUCUGUUGGAGCAACACCGGCACUUUUCACAUUUGGGAUUUCAAUGGAGCUGGAGCCAUCACAGAGGGAAAAAGCAAGGGCAAGUUAAAUCUUGGGUUCUCAGGCAGUCAGCCAGUGCCCAGUUCCUGAGACCAUAGCCCACAGUUCUCAGAUGGAGUUUGAGCUGGGAGUGGGGUAAGUCCAUAAGUGGCAGUUCAUUCACAGCCCCUGGCUUCUGUGCCCGACCAAAGCAACACUGUGCUUGGAGGGUUAGAAUUCAACAUUCUCUGCAGGGGCUGAGAGAUGCAAAGUAUGCUGCUAUUACACAACCUCUCUGCCCAGGUUUUGUUUCAGUUUUUUUCUUUUCCUCUUUUGAGACAGGGUCUCAAUAUAUGGUCCACACAGCUUUGACGUCCAAUCUGCUGCCUCAGCCUCCCAAGUGCUGGGAUUAUAGGUGUGUGCUACGACAUCCAGCCAUGUUUUUUUUCUCUAACAUUGUUCUUCUAAACGUGUUUAGGUAUUUUAAUGGCUGUAUGUGAACAUGUUGGUAUGUGUAUUCAAAUUAAAGCUACAGUAAACCAGGUACCUAACUAAGCCAAGGAACCAAGAAGGUAGAGCUGGAGCCCCAGAGCAGUGGUCACUUGUAGGGAAACUGUGCUUGGCUGGAGUAGAGAGCACCCGUGCCUUGGACCCAUGUGGCAGCACCAACCACCCUGGGGAGGGACCUUGCAAAUCAUCCUCCUGUUCUAAACACAUAGAACAUUGGUGAACAUGCGCUGUGGUUUAAUUUCAAGUGUUUGUAACUCGUCUAUGUAGCUGACAUUUGGAGAUUCCAAGAGACCUAUUUACAAGUCAUAUUAACAAGUAAACAGCCAGGAAUGACUGUGAUCAAUCAUCCUGAACAAAUGUUAUGCUUAAAAACUUAUAAAGUUGUUAAACAAUCUUGUUUUAGGCAUCUCUUAUUCAUCUCCAAUUUUAGUGAAUCCGAGUUAGAAACUCCUGAAAACACUUGGCCAACUUGAUCAAUCAGCUGUGUCAGCAAGCAUCCCAGAGAUGGAAGAGACAUUGGGCUCAUGUCAGGAAAAAGAGCUGGGCAGGUUCUUGGCAUGAGUGACGGCCUCUUCGUGACUGUGUCCCACUCAGCAAAGCCAUA